GCUCUUCUUAAUGUUAGAUCUCUUGUUAACAAGUCACUAAUAAUUAAUGAUUUUAUUUUGACACAUCACUUGGACUUUUUAUUUCUCAAUGAAACAUGGUUGAAUGAUGGUAUCAGUAAUACUAUUCUCAAUGAAAGUGCACCACAAGACUUUAUUUAUUUAAAUAAGUGUCGUACGUGCAGGAAAGGUGGUGGAGUUGCUGCCAUUUUUAAAUCAAUAUUUCAGUGCAAAGAAAUAACAUUUGGUGAUUUUAUCUCCUUUGAAUAUAUGUCAUUCUUACUGAAGGGUGAUUCAAGAGUUCUGUUUUUAGUCGUUUAUAGACCCCCAAAAUAUUCUAAAGAAUUCAUGGAUGAGUUUGCUGAACUGCUGUCAGUUGUAUGCACUGAAUACAACUUUUUAAUAAUAACAGGUGACUUAAAUAUUCAUGUAGACAAUAACAUGGACAAUACUGCCAAAGAACUGUAUGCUUUAAUGGAUACUUUUGGUCUUACACAACAUGUGACUGGUUCGACACACACUCAAGGUCACACUUUGGAUCUGGUUAUCUCUAAAGGUGUUGAUAUCUCUGCUGUUGAUGUAAGAGACUUAGCUCUAUCUGAUCAUUUCUGUGUCUUUUUUGACCUAGAGACUGUAACAUCUGUUCCCCCUAGUUAUGUGUGUUUAAAGAAAAGGUACAUAAAUGAGAACACAAGUGCACAGUUUAUGGAAGCCAUAGCAAUGACACCAACAUUGAGUGCUGAGACAGUUGAUGAUCUUCUGGAUGAGUAUAAUAGAAACGUCUGUAAUGUCAUAGAUGUGGUGGCUCCAAUCAAAACUAAGAGAAAACCAAACACACAGAAAACACCUUGGAGGAGGACUGAGAUAAUGCAGAAUUUGAAAUCUGACUGUAGAAGAGCUGAGCGUAAAUGGAGAUCAACAAAACUCCAAAUUAAUCUAGAACUGUACAAAAUAAGUCUGCGAAAAUUCAAUGAUGGCUUGUUCAAAGCAAGGCAGCAAUACUUUUCUGAAAUUAUUGCCAAAAAUGUCAACAACUCUCGCACGUUGUUUUCUGUAAUUGAAAAGCUCACAACCCCCCCAGAUCAGAUAGCCCCUGAAUUACUGUCAGCUGGAAAAUGCAAUGAAUUUGCUGUAUAUUUCAAUGAAAAAAUACAAUCAAUAAGGUCAAACAUCAGAACAAACCAGCAAAAUCACAAAAAGCUUGAACAGCUUCAACCACUGAGGGAUGAGUCAACUAUAAUGUUAGAGUUUAUUACAGUGAACCCAAAAACAAUAGAGGAGACUGUUCAGCAGCUGAAUCCAUCAACGUGUUGCCUUGACACAAUACCCUCAAACUUCUUUAAAACUGUUGUAAAGUCAAUUGUCACUGAUUUGUGUCAGAUAAUUAACUGCUCAUUCCAAUCAGGCACCGUACCAAAAUCCCUGAAAGUAGCUGCUGUGAAACCGCUGUUAAAAAAGAGAACACUGGAUGCCUCUAUACUGGCUAACUAUAGACCAAUCAGCAACCUUCCAUUCAUGGCCAAGAUCAUUGAGAAGGUGGUC
RNAcentral lists this long non-coding RNA (1539 nucleotides) under Gouania willdenowi (blunt-snouted clingfish). Its description in RNAcentral is "lncRNA (ENSGWIG00000013449.1)". The record is from RNAcentral. Lineage: Eukaryota; Metazoa; Chordata; Actinopteri; Blenniiformes; Gobiesocidae.